CCUACGGGUGGCAGCAGUGAGGAAUAUUGGUCAAUGGACGGAAGUCUGAACCAGCCAUGCCGCGUGCAGGAAGACGGCUCUAUGAGUUGUAAACUGCUUUUGUACAAGGGUAAACCUGAAUACGUGUAUUCAGCUGAAAGUACCGUACGAAUAAGGAUCGGCUAACUCCGUGCCAGCAGCCGCGGUAAUACGGAGGAUCCAAGCGUUAUCCGGAUUUAUUGGGUUUAAAGGGUGCGAAGGCGGAUAGAUAAGUUAGGGGGGAAAUGUAAGAGGUUAACUCGGGAACAGCCUCUAAAACUGUUUAUCUUGAGAGAUGAUGAAGUAUGCGGAAUGUAUGGUGUAGCGGUGAAAUGCUUAGAGAUCAUACAGAACACCGAUUGCGAAGGCAGCAUACCGAUGUAUAUCUGACGUUCAUGCACGAAAGCGUGGGGAGCGAACAGGAUUAGAUACCCCUGUAGUC
Molecule: ribosomal RNA, 460 nt
Filed under: uncultured bacterium
Lineage: Bacteria
Description: partial 16S ribosomal RNA
Rfam family: Bacterial small subunit ribosomal RNA
Source: RNAcentral